AGGAGCUCUCUGCUGCAAAAGAGAGGAGAAGCCUGCUGAAAGAGCAGCACAUGAUACAGCGGCGGGAUGAAGAGCCCUGCACAGAGGAGGGACUUGGCCCAUCCAACCAGCAAGGCGGAGUAAGGAUGGAGUGUAGCAGUGGCAGAGCCCCGUAAGUGACCGUCGGACAGACUACACCCGAUCGAGAGACCCCUGAGGAGGCAGCCCCCACUGGGAACAUUCAAAGUCAUGGCAGGGGGAAAAUAAUUUGGUACUGAAGGCGCACCAAUCAAGUGAGGAAUGUGAGAACAAGAACCAGGGGCUGGAAGUUCAAGUCAAACACAUUCAAGUCAAACAAAUGAAGAAAUGAAACACAGUUUUUUUCCCCAGCAAGAUUGAUUAACCACUAGGACCAACUGCCAAGGGACCAGCAUGGAAGAUGUACAGUCAUGGCCCCACUAGAACUGACAUGGAAAGGAUCACACUACCGUCCUAAAGGGCAAUGAAGAAGGCGUGCUUCCCUGCACCUGACAGUGCUCCAGAAGACACUGUCUCUCUCAGGCUCAACAUACGUUGAAGCCCACGCCCACCCCCACCCCCCUCGCAGCAAUGUGAGGUCCUGCCUCCAGCACAAGGAACUCUGCCCUGUAUUUGUAGCUCAUUGUCUCCAUUUUCAUAUGCAGAGUUGUUCAAGAAAACACUUGCAUAAAAAA
This is a long non-coding RNA of Alligator sinensis (Chinese alligator), 692 nucleotides long. RefSeq lists it as uncharacterized. NCBI's taxonomy places the organism in Eukaryota, Metazoa, Chordata, Crocodylia, Alligatoridae. The record is from RefSeq and is a predicted model, not a curated record. The transcript is spliced from 4 exons.